This 364-nucleotide long non-coding RNA is filed under the name Gallus gallus (chicken). RNAcentral describes it as "lncRNA (ENSGALG00010018669.1)". Lineage: Eukaryota; Metazoa; Chordata; Aves; Galliformes; Phasianidae. The record is from RNAcentral.
CGCUUGGACCUGUUACCAGAAAGAUGGUCCCCAUCUGACUUGGCUGUUCUUACUGGAAUAACCUCAGAUGUUCUCUGUACUCCAAGCAAUUUGACACAUUUACUUGUCUUCAACAGCACGUUAACUCAAGAAGCACCAAAGAGCAAAAAUCUUACUGGAGAAGGAUAAUUGCAACGACUCUCCAAGGGCUCACUGUUCUUCCACCCAUCAGUAGAUGCAGUGCUGAGGAGAUAAGGACCUCCUCCCCAGAGGGGAGCUGGAAUGCAGUGAAUCAGCACCGCGUUGCAGACCACGCUUCAGCUGUCUUCCAAUAAGCUGUACUUCAGCAGCCCCAGCAGUUCACAGUAGCAGCACUAAUUUUUAC